UUUUUUGAGCGGAUUUGUACAAUCUGUUAUUGGGGGUGGGGGAACGGCGCAGAUGGUGGACGUCGGUCGUGGAACGGCGGAGUGCGUCGCGGUGGACGGCGUACUGGCGCCCUGCGUUGCGAUGCUGCUCGCCGUGACGCGUGGCGCUGCGGCGCUCUACGCUCUCAUCAGGAGUCCAAACCGAUCGAGGAGCUAAGAGCGCCGAGACGUCACCGCGAGGAGAAUUCCCACUCCGUACACAAACAGGGUAUCGAUUACACGCCGAGACUGGCAGGGAAGAAGAUAUCACGAUGCAUCCACGGAUGCGCGAUUUGGUAUCGCAAAACCUCACGAGUUACACUUAAUUCUAAUUGAUCGAUAAGUGCCGUGGAACUUGAUAGUCCGAUUGCUAUAAAUAACGUAUGUUAUGCUGAAAUCAAUUAGUCAGCUGGUUUGCAGCCGUGAUUGCAAGCGAGGUGGUGUGUGGAUUGAUUCAAAAGUUGGCAGGAGGAGGAGGAGGAGGAGGAGGAGGAGGAGGCGGCAAGAUUAUUUCUCGCCCCCCCGAAGGCCUUCUCAGUGGCCUCGACGCCCCGCCGCCGCCGAGUCCGUAGCCAUUUUUCCCUGCGGAACGGCGCCGCCGUCGU
This is a long non-coding RNA of Diprion similis, 623 nucleotides long. RefSeq lists it as uncharacterized. Lineage: Eukaryota; Metazoa; Arthropoda; Insecta; Hymenoptera; Diprionidae. The record is from RefSeq and is a predicted model, not a curated record. The transcript has 3 exons.